UUCUGACAUUGCAGAUACCUCAUCCUCACA
This 30-nucleotide non-coding RNA is filed under the name Rattus norvegicus (Norway rat). Lineage: Eukaryota; Metazoa; Chordata; Mammalia; Rodentia; Muridae. The record is from RNAcentral.